This 445-nucleotide ribosomal RNA is filed under the name Ototyphlonemertes santacruzensis. RNAcentral's name for it is "partial 16S ribosomal RNA". It matches the Rfam family "Bacterial large subunit ribosomal RNA", at positions 1833 to 2597 of the family's 2925-position model. Lineage: Eukaryota; Metazoa; Nemertea; Enopla; Monostilifera; Ototyphlonemertidae. The record is from RNAcentral.
GCCUCUUGAGUUUUAGAGGUUUUUUCUGCUCGGUGUUGUUUAACAGCCGCGGUAAUUUGACCGUGCAAAGGUAGCAUAAUCAUUUGCCUUGUAAUUGAGGGCUAGAAUGAAUGAAUUAACAAAGGCUUUUCUUUAUUUUUGAAAAUUAGAUAACUUUCUUUCUUAGUGAAGAAGCUAGGAUCUGAAAGGGGACAAGAAGACCCUUUUGAGCUUUACUGAUAUUCUUCUUGUUUGAUGUUAGUUUGGUUGGGGCGACCGAGGAAUAUCUUCCUUUGCUAUUUUGAUCCACGGUUUGUGAUUAAAAGAAUAAGUUACCAAAGGGAUAACAGCGUAAUCCUUUUUGAGAGCUCUUAUUAAAAAAGGGGAUUGCGACCUCGAUGUUGACUUAUAGCUUCCUUCUAGUGCAGCCGCUGUAAGGGUUGGUCUGUUCGACCUUUAAAGCUUU